Nicotiana attenuata is the source of this 2954-nucleotide RNA transcript. RefSeq lists it as uncharacterized. NCBI's taxonomy places the organism in Eukaryota, Viridiplantae, Streptophyta, Magnoliopsida, Solanales, Solanaceae. The record is from RefSeq and is a predicted model, not a curated record. The transcript has 4 exons.
ACUUGCUUAAUUGAGGCCUGCUUGCUUCAUGUAAGAAUAAAUUGGCCUAGGCCCAAAGCAGAAUGGGCAGCAGCAAAAUACAGCAUCUUCUUCAGGUGCACCGAUCAACUCUCUACAGCUUCCUCUUCGGUCAAAGCUAUGGCUGCUGAUAUCGUAAAAAGAAGUCGCAAAGCAUCAAACUUUUCCUUCCUUAGAACCCUAACCGCUACUCAAACCCGUAUUUUCCGUAAUUUAGCAACUUCAGCACAAGCCGAAUCAUCAGAUGACCCAUCUUCUUCCUCCUUCACUUUUUACGGUGAAGAUCCAAAUUCUUCAACAACCAAUGAUAAUAUUAUCAUAAAGGGUCCAAAAAAGACUUCAUCACAAGAUUCUGCAUCUGUGUCUAUGCCUAUGUCAUUCAUGACUGGAUCAAUUGUGGGGAAGAGGUUUUACAAGAAAGUAACAACUACAGAAGCUGAUGAUGGAAUUGGUUGGAGUGUUAUGCUUGAUUAUCGUACCCUUAAAACCCCUUCUAAGCGGCCACUCAAAUGCCCAACGUUAGCUCUUGCUAAAGCUAUUGCUGCUGAAUGGGAAUACCAGAGCGUCAAGUGGAGAAAAUCGAUCCUCUUCUUAAGUGGGUAGAGUCAGAAUUUGGCUUCAAGACAGCCGUAUAUACCAGUUUUUUUGGUGGCAAGCAAGACGAUGGUCUUGUUAGUGCCAUUGAAAGCCUUCUCAAGAAAAUGGAUGAUUGUGAAUUAGCGACAAUUGAUGCAAUUGCUUCAGCUGCACAUUCGCUAGUCAUUGCACUUGGACUUUUCCGUGGUAGAUUGGGGAUUGAAGAGGCUAUUGAGUUGAUUAGGCUCGAGGAAGAUUUGCAGGUUGACAGUUGGGAUCUCGUUGAAGGCGGCCAUGAUGUUGAUAUUGCAGAUUUAUAAGUUCAGAUUGCUUCAGCUGUGGUGUUUCUUGGACUUACGAGGAGAGUAUAGAUAUGGUACUCAUUUUGUGAGUUUUACCUUAUUGUGUCUCUUUAGUACUUCAGCUCAAUACCAAUAGCAUUUCCUAUGAACUCAAAAAGUUGGAAGUGGCCAAUGAGGUGAAGUCAAUAUGUGAGUGAGUUGUAUCAAACUUGCUGCUUUUACAAGGACUAAAGGUGGCCUGCUGGAAAUUACCAGAUUUUUAUGAAUAAUGAGCCUACUCUGAAAUCAAAUACUCUUCUUUGAACUUGGACUACCCUUCAAUUUUGAGGAGCAAGCAUAAUUUAGCUCGAAAGUCCCAGUCUUUUUUUCUCUGUUUUUCGAAGGUAUGAGAUAGCGUAAUGCCUAUUAUAUUGUGAUGAAGGUUGGAGUAGCUGGUCCUUGUAUGGAUAUUAAGCGAUUUUAUGACUUUCUUUCUUAUAUUUUGAGAAACAGAUUUGAAAUCCAUAAUGCCUCCUCAUUUAACGAUUUUGAAGUUUACAAUCGGACAAGUCUUGCCUCUUGGUCUAGAUUAUGCUGCCAAGCAAGGCCCAGCUUCAAGUGCUUCAUGCUCUCUAACAAAAGAAUCCCAAUUGCCAAUGAAUUGGAAUGACAGACGAAUGCCCUCAGCACUGGACGCAGAGAGGUGGCUGCUUUGUGAUAUCACAAUAGCAACAGGCUAUGUCGCAGUUGUUGUUACAACCUAUUAGUAGAAGAAAAAUGUUGCAAGAUUGUUAGUUUAUUAUCCACCUAAUGGUAAAAUAUGAAAGGAUUGUAAUGCAGAAAUGGGUUGUUUUGAGUAACCUGUUACUGUGAUGUAUUGAUAGGGUUCCACAGUUUUAGGAUUUAUUAGAAAGGGAAGGCGAGUGCUUGUUCCAACUUUACUCAUAUUCUGAAUAAUCACCAUAUACACCAGAAAGCUAGCUACUACUAACAACUUCAUUCUUCUUCUUACACAACAUAGCAUCUGAUAUUGGUUCUAAUUAUAUAGGAAUAGGAUCUCUAUAUUAAUAUUCUAGUUUAGGAGUUUGAGCAAACCUGAGGAAAAGACUUAGGUAGUCCUUUAAAUAUGCCUAUGAGAGUAUUUUUGUCCCUUAUCUGUAUUACUAAAUGUAAAAUAUCCCUUAUCUUUGUAAAAGUGGACAAAUAUAGUCUAGCCCUUAACAAAGGUUAAAAAACUAACUGAAAAAUCUUAAAUAGAGUUAAAAUAAACGCUGUUAAACUAAAAACAGAAAACAAUGCGGGAGAAGGGAAAAUCCCUAGUUCCUUCUCUUUGCUUUGGCGCCAACAUUGUUCUUCACUUUGCUUUGGCGCCAGAAUCAUUCUUCUAAAAUUAAAACUCUUCCAUUGUCUAUCUUUAUUCUCCAUCACCAUCCAUGUACAUCAAGAGGAACUGUGCAAUAGAAGCAAGCCCAUCUUAUGGUGAGAAUCUAUUUUUACCAACUAAUUUUCAGAAUCUUUGCUUUAUAAGUUUUUACCCUGAUUCUUGUUUUUGUUUGUUAAUUCGUAUCAAAGUAGGCUAUAUUUGGGUACUUUAUAUUUUUUUAAUCUUAUUUCUACAUAGGAAACUAAAUCUUGUUAGAUUAUAAGUUGCUUUUAAUUUUGUUUCUGCUUGCCUUUACAAAAGUAUAAUUAGAACUUCUUUGUUUAUUUUUUGAGUUGCUUUUAUAUUCAGUUCUGCUUGCUUCAAAGUAUUUUGGUUUGAACUCCUAUUAAAAAUAUGGUUUUUAUUCUUGACAGACUCUGUAAUUGCGGCGUCAUGUUUCAGCAUUAAGGUAUAUCAUAGGGGUUUGAUGAAGCAUCGGCCAACUAAACACUAUGUUAGAGGUGUGGUCGACUACUUUGACUAUGUGAAACCAACAGAUCUUAAUAUGACAGAGUUGAGGAAGAUGGCCGAGAUUUGUGGUUACGUCAAUGAUUCAGUCAUAUUCUGGCACAAAUGUGAGAUAGAACUUGAGAAUGAAGAUCAAACAAUCAACAUUGAAAAUAUGCAACAAAAUGUUGGAAUUACUGAGAAACUGG